AUACAGAGGGUGCAAGCGUUAAUCGGAAUUACUGGGCGUAAAGCGCGCGUAGGCGGUUUAAUCAGUCGGAUGUGAAAGCCCCGGGCUCAACCUGGGAACUGCAUUCGAUACUGUUAAGCCAGAGUAUGUUAGAGGGAAGUGGAAUUCCAGGUGUAGCGGUGAAAUGCGUAGAUAUCUGGAGGAACAUCAGUGGCGAAGGCGACUUCCUGGACCAAUACUGACGCUGAGGUGCGAAAGCGUGGGGAGCAAACAGAAUUAGAAACCCUAGUAGUCC
This 274-nucleotide ribosomal RNA is filed under the name uncultured bacterium. Its description in RNAcentral is "partial 16S ribosomal RNA". It matches the Rfam family "Bacterial small subunit ribosomal RNA", at positions 523 to 796 of the family's 1533-position model. The record is from RNAcentral.